GAUGAACGUUGGCGGCGUGCUUAACACAUGCAAGUCGAACGGUGAAGCAGGAGCUUGCUCUUGUGGAUCAGUGGCGAACGGGUGAGUAACACGUGAGCAACCUGCCCCUGACUCUGGGAUAAGCGCUGGAAACGGCGUCUAAUACUGGAUAUGUGAUGUGACCGCAUGGUCUGCAUCUGGAAAGAAUUUCGGUUGGGGAUGGGCUCGCGGCCUAUCAGCUUGUUGGUGAGGUAAUGGCUCACCAAGGCGUCGACGGGUAGCCGGCCUGAGAGGGUGACCGGCCACACUGGGACUGAGACACGGCCCAGACUCCUACGGGAGGCAGCAGUGGGGAAUAUUGCACAAUGGGCGGAAGCCUGAUGCAGCAACGCCGCGUGAGGGAUGACGGCCUUCGGGUUGUAAACCUCUUUUAGUAGGGAAGAAGCGAAAGUGACGGUACCUGCAGAAAAAGCACCGGCUAACUACGUGCCAGCCGCCGCAGUAA
RNAcentral lists this ribosomal RNA (484 nucleotides) under uncultured bacterium. RNAcentral describes it as "partial 16S ribosomal RNA". It matches the Rfam family "Bacterial small subunit ribosomal RNA", at positions 28 to 523 of the family's 1533-position model. The record is from RNAcentral.